RNAcentral lists this non-coding RNA (47 nucleotides) under unclassified sequences. RNAcentral's name for it is "SAM-SAH-Weickhmann-2018 RNA". It matches the Rfam family "SAM/SAH riboswitch aptamer". The record is from RNAcentral.
UCGCCCCAACGGCUUCCUGACGGGGCGAGGAGACCCUGACCGGAGCA